Molecule: long non-coding RNA, 1275 nt
Organism: Paramisgurnus dabryanus
Lineage: Eukaryota; Metazoa; Chordata; Actinopteri; Cypriniformes; Cobitidae
Source: RefSeq, a predicted model, not a curated record
GGGGGUUUAAUGGUAUUUCAAGCAUUCUGACUUAUUAACACAGUUUAAGAGUUGUUUCCUCAUGCUAAACGUAGGCAAAGUGUCAAAAAUGCAGUUGGGCGUGUUUCAGAGUAUUUCUGUGCCGAAUGCACUUCGCCAGGGUUCGUACAAGUUUCGGCUAAUUUUUUUCGAUUACGGUUCUAACUGACGUUUCAGGGGUUUUCGAUACGUAUCACUUCUUUAUAUGGGCUUCCGCCGGAAAACUUCCCCCGGAAAACCCCGCCCAGCUGUCAGUCAGCGGGAGACGCUAGAGCUUGCUAACAGCUUAUCACGCCACUCAGCUUUGUUUAAUUUCAAAAGUCAACAAUGGCACAACAAGAAGUGUGUUUUUGGAUGUAAGGAGAAGACAUCCAGCCUUAUGGAAACAAUGGAUAUAGUUUAUUAUCCGGAUUAGCAGCGGAGUUUUGCGUGUGUGUUUGAUGCGGUGGAUUUUCGUGACGAGUUACACGUGGUUCAGGCCAAUACUUACAGGUUCAAGACUUCCUGUGUGAGACGACAACACUGCAAUCUGCAAUGUCCAGCCAUGCACAGACUAAGAGAUAUUUCCAAAUCCCUGAUGCCAACUCCCGAUGCCAACUCCCUGCACAGCAACUUACCGAACAAGGUUGCCUUCAGAACGGGUGAUCAUUUAUCCAGCGUUGCUUUUCACGGAACACAACUUGAGGCCUGGAAACAUGGGGGAGUUUGGGUCAGUGAGGUUCUCAAAACCUCAAAUCCACAAACUCUUCCUGGUCUUCGGCAUAUAGACCCCAAGAGAGAACAACCUCAUAACUGUGUCUCCUUACUGAACACGAAAAUACGAAUCAAUCAAGGGAGGCAUUAAGAGCUGGAAGCCUGCAGCAUCUCAUUAGUCAUUCUUACAGCUUUAACACAGCGUUCCCUCCAACGGACCAACUGUUAGCUUUGGAGUUGAAUUGUGUUGUUUUAUGUAGCUGAAAGUAUUGUGGAAAACCACUAAACUAAAGCGUUUACUUCCUCCUCGUGUUACAUUAUACAUAGGAAAGUCUUUAUUUAUAACAUUUAGAGAUGGAAUUCUUGGCCGGACAAUGAUGGUUGUCGCCAAGGUCACAAGAGAUGUAAUCAAGAGAUGUGCUGUGUGUUAUGACGGCUCUCCUGAUUUUGCCAAGUGGUUGAUGUCCUCAGGGCAACCCUGGGACAACAUUUCAAUCAACCAAUUAGAUUUCAGAAAUAAGUUUACAGUUUGUUUUAAGUUUAAGCUUACAACCAGGAUUAGCU